Molecule: small nucleolar RNA, 171 nt
Organism: Ipomoea triloba (trilobed morning glory)
Lineage: Eukaryota; Viridiplantae; Streptophyta; Magnoliopsida; Solanales; Convolvulaceae
Product: small nucleolar RNA snoR143
Exons: 1
Source: RefSeq, a predicted model, not a curated record
UUGCACCAGCAAUGAAGGGCUUCGAGAAAGUUAAAAUGGCGACGCCCGAUCUGCUAUUGUGCAUAAACUGAAAGCUGAGCUUUAGUCAGCGGCUGCCAGACAACCGCUGAGAUGGAUCCACAGAUGUGUUCUUACAAAAUAGGACUUGUCUACUAAUUCCAUUUCACAUUU